Molecule: long non-coding RNA, 667 nt
Organism: Haliotis rubra (blacklip abalone)
Lineage: Eukaryota; Metazoa; Mollusca; Gastropoda; Lepetellida; Haliotidae
Exons: 3
Source: RefSeq, a predicted model, not a curated record
CAUGUAAACAUUGCACCGUGGUUUCGGCUAUGCUAUGUAGUGUAUAUAUGUCCAGAAUAGUGGUUGAUGCAUGAAUACGUUUCAAAGAUACGUUACAACCCGCGAGGGGUACCCAGCUAUAUAUAUCAUCGCGUGAUUCCCCUUAGCUUCUCGGGGCAGGAAAAGGUGUGUCGGGUGUGUACAAGGGGUCGAUCGGACCUGUAUCCGCAGUCAGAAUUGAGGACGCGGCCCAUAUACGCUGGAAGAAGGACAUGUGCAAACAGUGAAAUUUAUAACUCAGGUUACCAAACGCCCCGUCUCAUGAUCAACUGAGUGAUAAAUUUAACAGGUCACAACCUGGAUCUCAGGCAAAGACUUCACUGGAACAAGUUACCGGUAUUUUGUGCUCUGUUUCGUUCGAAAUCUGAAUGAACCCAUACAGGGAACUCAUGAACCAGGUCUCGUAGCGACCAGCCGGACAGAUAGCGUCAUUAUCAGGAACUAGAAGAACUCCAUGCUGUCCAUAUCGAUGGUUGGGAAAGCCUUAUCCCCGAUGACGACGUCGGAACAUGCUUCAGAUGCCUACAAAGACGCUGUCGCCUUCAUUGGGCAGUUGCGUAACAAUGAAGAGAAGCUUAUUGAAAGAGGCAAAUUUCUUCUCAAGAAGGACAAGGACUACUGCAAGCGC